ACGAACGCUGGCGGCGUGCUUAACACAUGCAAGUCGAACGGGCCCGCCCUCUUUUUUGGGGGUGGGUUGAGUGGCGAACGGGUGAGUAUCACGUGAGUAACCUGCCCCCUGCUCCUGGAUAACUGCUCGAAAGGGCGGCUAAUACGGGGUGUGCCGGCUGGUCCGCCUGGGCCUGGUCGGGAUAGUUUCAUCUUCGGGUGUUUCGGGGGGGGACGGGCCCGCGGCCUGUCAGCUUGUUGGUGGGGUGAUGGCCCACCAAGGCGGUGACGGGUAGCCGGCCUGAGAGGGUGGGCGGCCAGACUGGGACUGAGACACGGCCCAGACUCCUGCGGGAGGCAGCAGUGGGGGGUAUUGCACAAUGGGCGGAAGCCUGAUGCAGCGACGUCGCGUGAGGGAUGGAGGCCGUCGGGUUGUGAACCUCUUUCUCCGGUGGUGAAGGCCCUGUCCGUUGCGGCGGGGUUGACGGUAGCCGGGUAUGAAGCGCCGGCUAACUACGUG
RNAcentral lists this ribosomal RNA (498 nucleotides) under uncultured bacterium. Its description in RNAcentral is "partial 16S ribosomal RNA". It matches the Rfam family "Bacterial small subunit ribosomal RNA", at positions 29 to 507 of the family's 1533-position model. The record is from RNAcentral.